AUGAAGUUGCUCUGCUGGAACAUCCGUGGGUUCGGCCACUUGGGCCGGCGCCGCCAGUUGAUUGAAUACCUGAGAGAGGAAGACAUUGAUAUUGUGGGUCUAUGGGAGACGAUCCGUCAUGACUUCUCCGUAGUGGAGUUGCAGGGCCUCACUAGGAGGCCUUUUGCCUGGCAAUGGCUUCCGGCCACGGGCCACUGA
RNAcentral lists this ribosomal RNA (198 nucleotides) under Triticum aestivum (bread wheat). RNAcentral describes it as "partial small subunit ribosomal RNA". The record is from RNAcentral. Lineage: Eukaryota; Viridiplantae; Streptophyta; Magnoliopsida; Poales; Poaceae.